RNAcentral lists this ribosomal RNA (283 nucleotides) under uncultured Anoxybacillus sp. RNAcentral's name for it is "partial 16S ribosomal RNA". It matches the Rfam family "Bacterial small subunit ribosomal RNA", at positions 1098 to 1382 of the family's 1533-position model. The record is from RNAcentral. Lineage: Bacteria; Bacillati; Bacillota; Bacilli; Caryophanales; Anoxybacillaceae.
GCACCUACCGACCUUAGUUGCCAGCAUUCAGUUGGGCACUCUAAGGUGACUGCCGGCUAAAAGUCGGAGGAAGGUGGGGAUGACGUCAAAUCAUCAUGCCCCUUAUGACCUGGGCUACACACGUGCUACAAUGGGCGGUACAAAGGGUCGCGAACCCGCGAGGGGGAGCCAAUCCCAAAAAGCCGCUCUCAGUUCGGAUUGCAGGCUGCAACUCGCCUGCAUGAAGCCGGAAUCGCUAGUAAUCGCGGAUCAGCAUGCCGCGGUGAAUACGUUCCCGGGCCUU